AUGAACGCUGGCGGCGUGCCUAAUACAUGCAAGUCGAGCGCACAGACGAGGAGCUUGCUCCUCUGACGUUAGCGGCGGACGGGUGAGUAACACGUGGAUAACCUACCUAUAAGACUGGGAUAACUUCGGGAAACCGGAGCUAAUACCGGAUAAUAUAUUGAACCGCAUGGUUCAAUAGUGAAAGACGGCUUUGCUGUCACUUAUAGAUGGAUCCGCGCCGCAUUAGCUAGUUGGUAAGGUAACGGCUUACCAAGGCAACGAUGCGUAGCCGACCUGAGAGGGUGAUCGGCCACACUGGAACUGAGACACGGUCCAGACUCCUACGGGAGGCAGCAGUAGGGAAUCUUCCGCAAUGGGCGAAAGCCUGACGGAGCAACGCCGCGUGAGUGAUGAAGGUCUUCGGAUCGUAAAACUCUGUUAUUAGGGAAGAACAAAUGUGUAAGUAACUAUGCACGUCUUGACGGUACCUAAUCAGAAAGCCACGGCUAACUACGUG
This 496-nucleotide ribosomal RNA is filed under the name uncultured bacterium. Its description in RNAcentral is "partial 16S ribosomal RNA". It matches the Rfam family "Bacterial small subunit ribosomal RNA", at positions 29 to 507 of the family's 1533-position model. The record is from RNAcentral.